RNAcentral lists this ribosomal RNA (468 nucleotides) under uncultured bacterium. RNAcentral describes it as "partial 16S ribosomal RNA". It matches the Rfam family "Bacterial small subunit ribosomal RNA", at positions 28 to 507 of the family's 1533-position model. The record is from RNAcentral.
GACGAACGCUGGCGGCGUGCUUAACACAUGCAAGUCGAACGGAAAGCCCCUGCUUUUGUGGGGUGCUCGAGUGGCGAACGGGUGAGUAACACGUGAGUAACCUGCCCUUGACUUUGGGAUAACUUCAGGAAACUGGGGCUAAUACCGGAUAGGAGCUCCUGCUGCAUGGUGGGGGUUGGAAAGUUUCGGCGGUUGGGGAUGGACUCGCGGCUUAUCAGCUUGUUGGUGGGGUCGUGGCUUACCAAGGCUUUGACGGGUAGCCGGCCUGAGAGGGUGACCGGCCACCAUGCGACUGAGGUACGGCCCAGACUCCUACGGGGGGCAGCAGUGGGGAAUAUUGCACAAUGGGCGGAAGCCUGAUGAAGCAACGCCGCGGGCGGGAUGACGGCUUUCGGGUUGUAAACCGCUUUCGCCUGUGACGAAGCGUGAGUGACGGUAACGGGUAAAGAAGCACCGGCUAACUACGUG